GACGAACGCUGGCGGCGUGCUUAACACAUGCAAGUCGUACGGUAAGGCCCUUUCGGGGGUACACGAGUGGCGAACGGGUGAGUAACACGUGAGUAACCUGCCCACAACUUUGGGAUAACGCUAGGAAACUGGUGCUAAUACUGGAUAUGUGCUCCUGCUGCAUGGUGGGGGUUGGAAAGCUCCGGCGGUUGUGGAUGGACUCGCGGCCUAUCAGCUUGUUGGUGGGGUAGUGGCCUACCAAGGCGGCGACGGGUAGCCGGCCUGAGAGGGUGACCGGCCACAUUGGGACUGAGAUACGGCCCAGACUCCUACGGGAGGCAGCAGGGGGGAAUAUUGCACAAUGGGCGCAAGCCUGAUGCAGCAACGCCGCGUGCGGGAUGACGGCCUUCGGGUUGGAAACCGCUUUCAGCAGGGACGAAGCUUUUUGUGACGGUACCUGCAGAAGAAGCACCGGCUAACUACGUG
This 465-nucleotide ribosomal RNA is filed under the name uncultured bacterium. RNAcentral describes it as "partial 16S ribosomal RNA". It matches the Rfam family "Bacterial small subunit ribosomal RNA", at positions 28 to 507 of the family's 1533-position model. The record is from RNAcentral.